This 815-nucleotide ribosomal RNA is filed under the name uncultured bacterium. RNAcentral describes it as "bacterial SSU rRNA". It matches the Rfam family "Bacterial small subunit ribosomal RNA", at positions 58 to 917 of the family's 1533-position model. The record is from RNAcentral.
CAAGUCGAACGCACCCUUCGGGGUGAGUGGCGCACGGCUGAGUAACACGUGGGAAUCUGUCGUCCAGUGGGGGAUAACGCAUCGAAAGAUACGCUAAUCCCGCAUACGGUCCGAAAGGAAGAAAGGCGCAAGUCGCUGGAUGAGGAGCCUGCGGCCCAUCAGGUAGUUGGAGAGGUAACGGCUCACCAAGCCAAUGACGGGUAGCUGGUCUGUGAGGACAACCAGCCAGACUGGGACUGAGAACGGCCCAGACUCCUACGGGAGGCAGCAGUAAGGAAUUUUCGUCAAUGGGGGAAACCCUGAACGAGCAACGCCGCGUGGAGGAUGACGGUUUUCGGAUUGUAAACUCCUUUUGUAUGGGACGAUAAUGACGGUACCAUACGAAUAAGCCCCGGCUAACUCUGUGCCAGCAGCCGCGGUAAUACAGAGGGGGCAAGCGUUGUCCGGAGUUACUGGGCGUAAAGCGCACGCAGGCGGUUGUGCAAGUGGGAUGUGAAACCACCGUGCUUAACACGGUGACGCCAUGCCAAACUGCACGACUCGAGUGGUGGAGAGGUUGUUCGAAUUGCCGGUGUAGUGGUGAAAUGCGUAGAGAUCGGCAGGAAGACCAAGGGCGAAAGCAGACAACUGGCCACCAACUGGCGCUCAGGUGCGAAAGCGUGGGGAGCGAACUGGAUUAGAUACCCAGGUAGUCCACGCUGUAAACGAUGUAUGCUCGGUAUUUGUGCUGUUACGGCAUGGGUACCUCAGAAACCCGGUAAGCAUACCGCCUGGGAAGUACGAACGCAAGUUUAAAACUCAAAGGAAUUGACGGG